GUGUUGUAUGAAAGGAGAGAAGGUUAGCACGCCCCUUGACCAGGAUGAAAGAGGCCCUCCAGCCAGUACAACAUGCAUACGGGUAAGGCAUUGCCACCUACUUUGUGGCAUCUAACCAGUUUUUAGU
This is a small nuclear RNA of Loxodonta africana (African savanna elephant), 127 nucleotides long. NCBI's taxonomy places the organism in Eukaryota, Metazoa, Chordata, Mammalia, Proboscidea, Elephantidae. The record is from RefSeq and is a predicted model, not a curated record.